GUGCUUUCUUCAGUAGCUCAUAUACUAAAAUUGGAACGGUGCAGAAAAGAUUACCAUGUCCCCUGCACAUGAGUGACACUCAAAUUCAUAAAUUAUUCCAUAUUUUU
RNAcentral lists this small nuclear RNA (107 nucleotides) under Notamacropus eugenii (tammar wallaby). Lineage: Eukaryota; Metazoa; Chordata; Mammalia; Diprotodontia; Macropodidae. The record is from RNAcentral.